Benincasa hispida (wax gourd) is the source of this 120-nucleotide small nuclear RNA. RefSeq annotates it as U5 spliceosomal RNA. The record is from RefSeq and is a predicted model, not a curated record. NCBI's taxonomy places the organism in Eukaryota, Viridiplantae, Streptophyta, Magnoliopsida, Cucurbitales, Cucurbitaceae.
AAGUUGGGCAUUCAGCGCAAGGCAAACUAUUCUUUCGCCUUUUACUAAAGAAUACCGUGUGCUAUGUCGACCAUUUCUUCUACUUAAUACAACUAUUUCUUUGACAAAUAUAAUUUUCGA